UACGAAGGGGGCUAGCGUUGCUCGGAAUUACUGGGCGUAAAGCGCACGUAGGCGGAUCUUUAAGUCAGGGGUGAAAUCCUGGAGCUCAACUCCAGAACUGCCUUUGAUACUGAGGGUCUUGAGUUCGGGAGAGGUGAGUGGAACUGCGAGUGUAGAGGUGAAAUUCGUAGAUAUUCGCAAGAACACCAGUGGCGAAGGCGGCUCACUGGUCCGGUACUGACGCUGAGGUGCGAAAGCGUGGGGAGCAAACAGG
This 253-nucleotide ribosomal RNA is filed under the name uncultured bacterium. Its description in RNAcentral is "partial 16S ribosomal RNA". It matches the Rfam family "Bacterial small subunit ribosomal RNA", at positions 524 to 776 of the family's 1533-position model. The record is from RNAcentral.